Molecule: unclassified non-coding RNA, 330 nt
Filed under: soil metagenome
Description: partial contains 5.8S ribosomal RNA, internal transcribed spacer 2, and large subunit ribosomal RNA
Rfam family: 5.8S ribosomal RNA (bases 1-120)
Source: RNAcentral
GAUGAAGAACGUAGUGAAAUGCGAUAAGUAGUGUGAAUUGCAGAAUUCCGUGAAUCAUCGAAUCUUUGAACGCACAUUGCGCCCCUUGGUAUUCCGAGGGGCAUGCCUGUUCGAGCGUCAUUUCAACCCUCAAGCACAGCUUGGUCUUGGGCUUCGCCGCUAACCCGGCGGGUCUUAAAAUCAGUGGCGGUGCCGUCGGGCCCUGAGCGCAGUAAUCUCUCUCGCUAUAGGGUCCCGGCGGAUGCUGGCCAGUAACCCCCAAUUUUCUAUGGUUGACCUCGGAUCAGGUAGGGAUACCCGCUGAACUUAAGCAUAUCAAUAAGCGGAGGA